UACCCGCGGCCCGAGUGGUGUUCAUUAUUAUUGAGCUUAAAGCGUUCGUAGCCGGCCUUGUAAAUCCUUGGGUAAAUCGGGCAGCUCAACUGUUCGAAUUCCGAGGAGACUGCAAGGCUCGGGACCGGGAGAGGUUCGAGGUACUCUCGGGGUAGGGGUAAAAUCCUGUAAUCCUGAGAGGACCACCAGUGGCGAAGGCGUCGAACUAGAACGGAUCCGACGGUGAGGGACGAAGCCCUGGGGCGCAAACGGG
This 253-nucleotide ribosomal RNA is filed under the name uncultured Methanomassiliicoccales archaeon. RNAcentral's name for it is "partial 16S ribosomal RNA". It matches the Rfam family "Archaeal small subunit ribosomal RNA", at positions 474 to 727 of the family's 1478-position model. The record is from RNAcentral. Lineage: Archaea; Methanobacteriati; Thermoplasmatota; Thermoplasmata; Methanomassiliicoccales.